UCUACUCAAAGGUUGACAUUUCUAAGCACUCUCAAAUCCUCAGACUUAGCGUGAGUUACGAGCGCAUGACCAGAAGGAUUCGGCUGCAGCAGCUUAAGGCUCGAGGCACAGCAGCGUUAUGUGAUUGAACUCCAGCUACAGGCUCCAGCGUGUUUCAUGCUAAUGUUUCAUGCUAAUGUCAUUUAGUCCACAACUGGGGCGCGUUAAGAGCGCACACGCAGUUGGUAACGGCUUCAGCUGAUGAGCGGUGACGUCUUUGGUCACAUCCAUUACAUCAUUUUCAUUUACGUGUCCACAAUAUUUCAACAAGAGCAAGUGACAGCCUAGACGAUGAAUGCUGAAGUGCUCAAUUUGCCAUAUCCAGAUUUGGUGACAGGAGGGUUAAAAGGUGCCUUUCUAUGGAGUCCAUUGGUGACAGAAACUUUCACGCUACAAUCACAGCAAAGACUUUCCCGAAUCCAGCGGGAAGCAGGUACUUCAUCCUCUAAACAGGAGCCAAAGGCUGGAAGUCUGAACUACAUCAAGCUUUUGCAUACCUACAGAAGACAGCAUGCCUUUAUUUCAGGAGAGAACUGAAAUCAAUCUUUUGACUGGACAAGCAGUAUUCAGGAUGGCCCAGCACCUCUCAGACCUUCCAACAGAUAACUGCCUUUUUUUUUUUUUUUUUAAAUGGCUAUGCAUAUAGCCAAAUAAAAGCAAUGAUUACUAGACCAUGGCUCAUAGGAAUGAGCGCCCAUGCAGCCUGCAGCCAUGACUGAGGGCCACAAGGAACCACCACCACUUGGUAUAAAACGGCAGGGAAAAUAAUGCGUGGUAUGCUCACAGCACAUAUGCUCACUUUAGACUUGUGGCCUAUAAAUUUGCAAAGAUUCUGCGCUACUGUCCUACAUGUUUUCAGUGUUCAUACAGAUGAUUAUUAUCAGUCAUGUAAGGUUCCUGACCUCAAAAUCUCUUGGUCACAAACUCCUUGGGUUCAUGAUGUGCUGCACUGCAAAAGUAUCCCAUUUUUUCAAGAUGUUGCUUUUAAGUAUCGUAUUUAUAAGAGGUAUCAGCCUCUGGUGGUUGUUUUUUUUUUCCUAGCUCUUUAACUGUGCAUUUUUGACUGUCACUAUAUGCUGCUCGUGUACUUUCAUCAAGUAGCUUUCAAAUUUACCCACAUCUUUUUCUGAGGCUCUCUCCUUUCAAGUUAAACUAUGAAACUUAGUUGAAAACAGUUUGUUUAAAGGAUUGGUAUGUUAAAAACCAUAAUAACUAGCAGGUAAAAGUAGUAUCAUGUUAAAAAUCCACAUCACAAACCAUGGAACAGACAAAGAGAAAUAAUAAGAUUAAAGAGUAUUAAAAAGUUGCCAUCUGUCUUCAAAGAUUAAAACUUUCCAUAAACUCCCCUUUUUCUCCUCAGCCAAGCUCUUCCAAUAAACCCAUGUUUGAGGUACUGGAGAAAACUGGCUUCUACGCACGAUUUAAAUAUGAACACACACCACACCCCCAAGCCCCAAGAAAUGAUACAACUUACUGUAUGGAAAUUACUGAUCAAAAGAAGUAUUUUAUCUUAAAAUACUUCAUACAAGCACAGCAAAUUUGUUAGCUUUUGGAAAUUGUUUAUAAUAUUCAUGCAACAACUACUGUGCAUAUUUAUGAAAUGGUGGCCAAGGAGUCAAUACAGCGAUUAAGAUUAUGGCCAUCAUCUCCUGUUCAAUCCUCAAUGAUUUAGAAAACCUGCCACCUGGAGUUUGGAUUCUAAAAUGAUGGUAAAGUACCUAAUAUUUCAUAAACAGAUUAAGUUAGUAAAUUUGUGACUGGAAAAAGAAGCAAGCUAUUGUAAGUGCCAAACUGUAAUUCAUAAGUAAGUGUUGUACAGCCUAAAUUACAACAUUGCUGAAACCAAGAGAAAACAUACAUCUGGGAUUUUCAAAUUCCUCCAAGUGGCUUACAAGCAUGUAUUUCACAGAAAAUUAGGGAUUUGGGUGUUCCUAAAUCAAAGCAGCAUUUCAUCAAAAUGCCUACUAGGAAUUGUCAUUUAAGAAGAACAUGGCUGGACUAAAGAAAAUUUGUGAAGGAAGAAUGUUUCAGCUAUUGAUAUGCUUAUCCCUGAAAAAUAUUUGCAAACAAAGUAUGCAGAGUGCAAUUCGAAUUCAUGUUUUCUUCAUUUUACUGAAAAACUACAACUGAAACCUGUCAUUCUUGCAGGCAGCACCAAUAAGCUUGAAGAGGCCAAUGGCAGAAAACACUUGACGAAAGGGAAGUUCUUGGUGAAACUAGUGAUAUGGAGAAAUAAGUGUUACAUGGUUGGGAUGAGACAUCAGCGACACUCACAGUACAUCAAGAAAAACUAAUUUUAAAAGUGACAUAUAAAGGCGAAAAGUCAAAAGGGUGAAAAAGAUUGGAAACCACAGAAAUUCCACAUUUUGUUACAAUCUUCAUAGACUUACAAAGACACCAAGUCAUAAAAGCGUAUGACAAAAUUUGGAAGUUUUAUGAAGUAGAGAUUUGGGCACAAAUGCAUUUUCAACUGAAGGCAGGGCUGUUUAGCAGCACAGAUGGGCCACUGCCAUGUAGUGCGGGUAGAUGGACCUUGCCAGACAGUGCUAAGGAAAGCAGCUGCCAGUCCCUCCCUGCCUGCCACCUGUAUAUAUAGGGCACAUCUGCUCCACAAUAGCCAUAGGAGAACUAAGGUACCCAAUUAAGAACAGCUAAAAGGCUUCUCAGAGUUCUCAAAAUAUGAAAAUCUGUAUUUGUUACUGAUCUUACUACUUAUGUAGGAAUGUACUUUAAAACGGACAAUGGCUGAGUAUUGAAAUGACAGCAUCUAUCUUGCCUUCAAAAGAGUUUGACAGUUUGGACUGAACUCUCAGUAUUUCACUAUUUACCAUUUGGCUCCCCCUCAGCUUUUUUAGGGGAAACAAAUGUGUUUAGCCUGGAAAAAUAUUUAGGGUGGUUUUAAACUGGUGUUAGCAAAUCAAGAUUAUCCAGUGGCUUGGGCACUGGUCUAAGGCUUGGGAGACUGCAUAUAAUUUUGUACUCAGCCCAAAACUAGUCCUCUGAGUAACACUCCCCACCUGUAAAAACAGGAAAUACUGAUACCUGUCUACUGUGAAAAGAAAUUGGAAUCUUGUGAUGAAAAGCAUUAUAGAAGAGUCAAAUAUUACUACUAGUGUAAAUGUAUUGGCAAUCAAUUAGGUGAUGAUAACCAAAUGACUUAUGAGCAGUGAAAGAAAUGAAGUGUAGCUUCCCAUGAAGAACAUAUCCCACAGCUUCAUCUUUACAGAAACUCCAUCUUCUUUCUCUCCAAGGCCACUCAGGGCCCCCACCACACAGGAGACAGGAUGUGCUGUGGUCAGUCCAGAGCUGCACAGGAGCUCCUGUACAUCAGCUUGGCUCGCUGAUCUUUCCAGUAGCAUAAAUGUAGACCUUUUACCUCUACCCAGUCGUCAAUUUUGUCAGAAACCCAAGAAAUGUAACUACCUUUGAGACAUCUAUGCCUCUUUCAGUCUAGACUUAAGCUGCCCCAUGGGUUCAAAAGGUUUGUGGUGGGGAGCAGAGGGGAAGGACGUUGACAGACACAAGAGGUCACCUCUGCUUCCCUAAGGAGCUAGGCAAAACCCAUAGGGCGGUUUUAGUCUAUGUUCGAACUAGUCACCAAUCAUUCCUGACCCAUUCCCUUCUCACUAGAGAGAAAAAUAACAGCUCAUCGAUUCUUCACUCAAGGUACUGAAGGGGUUGGCCAGAGCAUCAGUACUUCCCCCUGCAUGUGUUAGGGUGAGCGUGUUUGCUCAGCUACUUUAGAACCAGGCUGACUCUGUGAUGAUGUCCAUAACAAAGAGCUGACGACUGCAGGCCGGCUCCUGUGCUACAGAAAGCCUCUUUCAAGUCAGUGCAAUUACUUGCAUGAGUAACGAGCAUGUGUACUAAUAAAGGUUGCGUGGCUAGCAUUAAUACCAAAUCCAAGAGCUCAAAGUCAUGACUUCUAUCUAGUGUUACAGAACCUCAGCGUUGUAGGUUUUGCACAGCUCCCCCCAGGUAACCCCCAUUAAAGACAGAAAUAAUAGAAUUAGCUCUACUAACAACAAAAAAUUGCUCCAGUGACUGAUUUUUCCCCACCCACCCCAAGACUGAAUCACUGUGUGGAACGUGCCACGUAGCUUUGCUGGAGUAGCUGGAGAGACAGGCACUGGAACUAGAGAAAGCCCAGCAGCAUGCAAGAGAACUUAAGUCAUAAAUAUGUAUGAGUUCAUGUAAAAAAUAAACCUGAUAUUAAUAUAACCAAAAUCUGAGAUGGAGAAGAACUGCUGCUGAGUCAUGCAGAACACUUUGCCAAAUGCCUCAGCUAAGAAAUUAUUCUGUAUAAAGUUGAAAGCCUGCCACAAAACAAACACUUUCAAAUUCCACCCUAAAAAGCUGUGGUGAUACCAUGGCCAUUCUGAUCCCGUUACUUCAGAGACGUUAGCUCUUGCUGGCAAGUUUCCUAGGCACUUUCCAGUAAAUGUCAAAGAAAAUGGGUAAAUAGGAACAAGAAAGGGGAUUGAUGGAAUUCCACUGCAGAGUAAAAUUCAAAUACUUUAAAGAACACAUUCUUUGGGGUUACUUAUCUGCUCACUUUGGUAUGUGCUAAUAUAUAUAUGUAGCUUCUCUGUCUUUGGGUCUUAGACACAUCUCCAUCAGUCUGGGCACAUCUGAGGCUAUUUCAAAGAUUUUUCAGCAAAAUACUUGAAAUGCAAAUGAAAUAAGCAGGGGGAGCCCUUAGUUAUGCAGGUUGUAGGGGAUGCCAAUAGUACUGAUCAUUUAAAUUAAUGUUAUUAGGACUCUCCUAGCUACACCAGAAGCAUAAGAUGGAUUUUUUCAAUGUCAUGUAUGAAGAUUUAGCAAUAAUAGGGUUAUGGGCAUUCUUUUGAUCACCUUUCUGCAUAAUUGCAAAAAAGCUGAAGGUCUGUGGGAUUUUUCUUUUUUUCAAACACAAAUCCAACCAAAUGUAAUAACAAGCUUUUUUUUUUUUUUUUAAUAUACGAAUGUCCAUACAGCACUGAUUCAAACACUGUCCUCUCUGAAAAUUAAUGUGCUAUUUGUUCAUGGAUUUGUAUAUAAUCAGAUGCAAUAAAUGUUGGCUUUGUUGGAAUCACUGUAUACAUGCUUUGCAUCAGCAAUUCAGUUAAAUAUUUUUAAAUGGUCAGAAUAGAGGCUGCUAAAUAAAGAGGGCAAAUUUUAACUAUAAAAGGAGGUUGACAGGCUUUCUUAAAAUAGUAAACAAAUACUCCUGUAGCUUUACAGUAAUUAUGCAAUGCUUAAUGGCAUCUGUUAUUAUAAACUUAACUUCUCAAAGUCUUCCAGAUUUGUAUUUUAGCAUUAGAAGUUUACUGAAUCUCAGAUCUAAAAUGCUGGUUUUAAGCUGUACAGUAUUACACUGCUAAAUGCCCGGCUGGCCAGCCCUUAAUUUUCUUGCAGUACUAGCCAAACCUGUCUACGUAGCAAUUGUAGUAAUGAUUUAGACAUGAGGAAGAAUCUUGGGUAUAAGCAAAGGAGGAUUAAAAAU
Aquila chrysaetos chrysaetos is the source of this 5524-nucleotide long non-coding RNA. RefSeq lists it as uncharacterized. Lineage: Eukaryota; Metazoa; Chordata; Aves; Accipitriformes; Accipitridae. The transcript is spliced from 3 exons. The record is from RefSeq and is a predicted model, not a curated record.